This 492-nucleotide ribosomal RNA is filed under the name uncultured bacterium. Its description in RNAcentral is "partial 16S ribosomal RNA". It matches the Rfam family "Bacterial small subunit ribosomal RNA", at positions 29 to 507 of the family's 1533-position model. The record is from RNAcentral.
AGUGAACGCUGGCGGUAGGCCUAACACAUGCAAGUCGAACGGCAGCACAGUAAGAGCUUGCUCUUACGGGUGGCGAGUGGCGGACGGGGGAGGAAUAAAUCGGAAUCUACUUUUUCGUGGGGGAUAACGUAGGGAAACUUACGCUAAUACCGCAUACGACCUACGGGUGAAAGCAGGGGAUCUUCGGACCUUGUGCGAUUGAAUGAGCCGAUGUCGGAUUAGCUAGUUGGCGGGGUAAAGGCACACCAAGGCGACGAUCCGUAGCUGGUCUGAGAGGAUGAUCAGCCACACUGGAACUGAGACACGGUAGAGACUCCUACGGGAGGCAGCAGUGGGGAAUAUUGGACAAUGGGCGCAAGCCUGAUACAGCAAUACCGCGUGAGUGAAGAAGGACUUCGGGUUCUAAAGCCCUUUUGUUGGGAAAGAAAAGCAGCACGUUAAUACCCCGCUGUUCUGACGGUACCCAAAGAAUAAGCACCGGCUAACUUCGUG